GCCUUUAGGUUCGGAAUAACUCAGGGAAACUUGUGCUAAUACCGAAUGUGCCCUUCGGGGGAAAGAUUUAUCGCCUUUAGAGCGGCCCGCGUCUGAUUAGCUAGUUGGUGAGGUAAAGGCUCACCAAGGCGACGAUCAGUAGCUGGUCUGAGAGGAUGAUCAGCCACAUUGGGACUGAGACACGGCCCAAACUCCUACGGGAGGCAGCAGUGGGGAAUCUUGCGCAAUGGGCGAAAGCCUGACGCAGCCAUGCCGCGUGAAUGAUGAAGGUCUUAGGAUUGUAAAAUUCUUUCACCGGGGACGAUAAUGACGGUACCCGGAGAAGAAGCCCCGGCUAACUUCGUGCCAGCAGCCGCGGUAAUACGAAGGGGGCUAGCGUUGCUCGGAAUUACUGGGCGUAAAGGGAGCGUAGGCGGACAUUUAAGUCAGGGGUGAAAUCCCGGGGCUCAACCUCGGAAUUGCCUUUGAUACUGGGUGUCUUGAGUAUGAGAGAGGUGUGUGGAACUCCGAGUGUAGAGGUGAAAUUCGUAGAUAUUCGGAAGAACACCAGUGGCGAAGGCGACACACUGGCUCAUUACUGACGCUGAGGCUCGAAAGCGUGGGGAGCAAACAGGAUUAGAUACCCUGGUAGUCCACGCCGUAAACGAUGAUUGCUAGUUGUCGGGAUGCAUGCAUUUCGGUGACGCAGCUAACGCAUUAAGCAA
This 704-nucleotide ribosomal RNA is filed under the name uncultured Brevundimonas sp. Its description in RNAcentral is "bacterial SSU rRNA". It matches the Rfam family "Bacterial small subunit ribosomal RNA", at positions 128 to 867 of the family's 1533-position model. Lineage: Bacteria; Pseudomonadati; Pseudomonadota; Alphaproteobacteria; Caulobacterales; Caulobacteraceae. The record is from RNAcentral.